UGAUUACGAAUUCGCCCUUAGAGUUUGAUCAUGGCUCAGAUUGAACGCUGGCGGCAGGCCUAACACAUGCAAGUCGAGCGGAAACGAGUUAUCUGAACCUUCGGGGAACGAUAACGGCGUCGAGCGGCGGACGGGUGAGUAAUGCCUAGGAAAUUGCCCUGAUGUGGGGGAUAACCAUUGGAAACGAUGGCUAAUACCGCAUGAUGCCUACGGGCCAAAGAGGGGGACCUUCGGGCCUCUCGCGUCAGGAUAUGCCUAGGUGGGAUUAGCUAGUUGGUGAGGUAAGGGCUCACCAAGGCGACGAUCCCUAGCUGGUCUGAGAGGAUGAUCAGCCACACUGGAACUGAGACACGGUCCAGACUCCUACGGGAGGCAGCAGUGGGGAAUAUUGCACAAUGGGCGCAAGCCUGAUGCAGCCAUGCCGCGUGUGUGAAGAAGGCCUUCGGGUUGUAAAGCACUUUCAGUCGUGAGGAAGGUAGUGUAGUUAAUAGCUGCAUUAUUUGACGUUAGCGACAGAAGAAGCACCGGCUAACUCCGUGCCAGCAGCCGCGGUAAUACGGAGGGUGCGAGCGUUAAUCGGAAUUACUGGGCGUAAAGCGCAUGCAGGUGGUUUGUUAAGUCAGAUGUGAAAGCCCGGGGCUCAACCUCGGAAUAGCAUUUGAAACUGGCAGACUAGAGUACUGUAGAGGGGGGUAGAAUUUCAGGUGUAGCGGUGAAAUGCGUAGAGAUCUGAAGGAAUACCGGUGGCGAAGGCCGCCCCCUGGACAGAUACUGACACUCAGAUGCGAAAGCGUGGGAGCAAACAGGAUUAGAUACCCUGGUAGUCCACGCCUAAACGAUGUCUACUUGGAGUUGUGGC
Molecule: ribosomal RNA, 859 nt
Filed under: uncultured marine bacterium
Lineage: Bacteria
Description: bacterial SSU rRNA
Rfam family: Bacterial small subunit ribosomal RNA
Source: RNAcentral